This 431-nucleotide ribosomal RNA is filed under the name uncultured bacterium. Its description in RNAcentral is "partial 16S ribosomal RNA". It matches the Rfam family "Bacterial small subunit ribosomal RNA", at positions 29 to 507 of the family's 1533-position model. The record is from RNAcentral.
AACGAACGCUGGCGGCAGGCUUAACACAUGCAAGUCGAGCGCCCCGCCAGGGGAGCGGCAGACGGGUGAGUAACGCGUGGGAACGUACCUUUUGGAUCGGAACAACUCCGGGACACUGGAGCUAAUACCGGAUAAGCCCUAACGGGGAAAGAUUUAUCGCCGAAAGAUCGGCCCGCGUCUGAUUAGCUAGUUGGUGAGGUAACGGCUCACCAAGGCGACGAUCAGUAGCUGGUCUGAGAGGAUGAUCAGCCACACUGGGACUGAGACACGGCCCAGACUCCUACGGGAGGCAGCAGUGGGGAAUAUUGGACAAUGGGCGCAAGCCUGAUCCAGCCAUGCCGCGUGAGUGAUGAAGGCCUUAGGGUUGUAAAGCUCUUUUGUCCGGGAAGAUAAUGACUGUACCGGAAGAAUAAGCCCCGGCUAACUUCGUG